Molecule: long non-coding RNA, 2292 nt
Organism: Phocoena sinus (vaquita)
Lineage: Eukaryota; Metazoa; Chordata; Mammalia; Artiodactyla; Phocoenidae
Source: Ensembl
GUACUCUGGACUCUAUUAAAUGUUUUUUAUGUUGGUAAUUAACAUAGUUAUUUGGUUCCUGCUGCCAGUUAUUUUUCUUGAUGAGGUUUAUUCAUCUUUAAAACAGUCAUACUAAUCUUAACAGACACUGAUUUAUAAAAAUUGGGCAUGAAUAGGAAUACAAGAGGUCCGGAGAAAGUGAAAUCAUUUUCUUAAACAGGCUUAUGGAAGCAAAGCUUUCUAGGGUCUAGAGGUACUGGAGGGAAGGAGGGAGUGUGUGAGUGUGUGUGUGUGUUGUGUGUAAGAGAGAGACAUCUUUUUCUCUUUGUUCACUUUUAAGCGCUGAUAUGUUUUCUUUUAUUUUUUUCUUGUGAGGUAUUUUUUUAUUUCUUUAAAACUGUCUUUUUCAUCCCAGGUAGAUAUUGUCAGGAAAACUUGAGGUAAGGCCAAGAAGACAGCCAUUUUACACUUAAUACCUUCUGUAAAUUUUCUUUUUCAUCUUGAUUAUAUAGCGAGUACAUUCUGUUCCUUAAAUUGUAGUUGCUAUUCAGCAUUCUAGACAAAUUCUCUUGGUCCUCUUGUUCUUGCUUUUCAGCAUUGUGCACUUAACUGGUAAUAAAAGAUGGUCCUUCAUAAGCUAGCCAGUUUCAUGUGAGGAAACAAGUAUAAAACCCUCAACUUCCACAGCUAUCUCAUUAUUAUUUUCCAUUGAAUCUAAUUAACUUAUAGUUACGAACACACUAGUCAGCUUGUGAUUUUUCUGUUUAGAAUCUUUUUUUCCGAGGGGUUCAGUAUACGCUGUGUUGAUCUUUAGAAGUAUCAUAGAGACUUAAAUUUUGACAUGCCUCAAUUAAAAGUAAAAACCGGCAUUUAGAAUCAAUUUUUUUUUUUUGUCAAGAAAAUAAUUUCUUUUGUGGUAUUAGUCAUCUUCAGGAUGCUCAUUCAUUCCUAUAUAUAGGUUGCUACCUUUGAAAUUAAAAAAAAAAAAAAACAACCUUGAGCCAAAUCUGGUCUCACCUGAAGAUAUUAUUCAAAUUUAAGGAUUAUAAUAUAUACUAAUGGCUUUUAAAAGUUUUUUAAAAACCUAUUUGGAAUAGUAUGAUUUGGUUUAAAUCUUUAGUAGUUGAAUUAGCAGUUAAAAUGAAUUCUUUUUGAGGGAUGCAUUAAGUAACAUUUCAGUGGGAAAUUUCUUAUAUUUUCAUUGGAAGAUAGUAUCUGGUUUUAACUGGGUAAGUUAUGAAGUAGAGCUGUUUCCACAAAGUAAUUAUGUUCCUUAUGUGUUUUAAAUAUUUUUUUAAAAAAAUUCACUGCCUAUAUACUUAGAUGUUCUCAUGUUUAUUUACUAAUGUAAUAGUCAUUUAAAAUUAAAUUGUUUAUUUUCAAAUUUCAGAAGUUAGUGCUCUCAAAGGGCUAAAUGAUAUUUCUGGAAGCAGGAGUCGAGUAUAAAUGUAAUAAAAUAAUCUUUUAAAAUAAAAUUCACUUCCCUACUUAAACUUGGGUUUGUGGGUGAAUUUGUUUUUCUUAAAUACACUUUUAUUGGUGAUGCUGCCAAAGAGUGGUACAUGAUUUUAAAAAUAAAAGCUAAAGCUGAAGGUAGGUUGGAUUUAGUAACUAAAUUUCUUUCUAUUCCAUUUAAGGUACUUUUAUAGUUUCUAGCAAUUAAUUAUAAUUGUUUAUAUAUAAUACAUUUCUUAACAUACUGUUCUUAAAAGCAGAUUUUUAGCCUGUUGCCUGAUUUUAAAUUUACUUUGUAUCUAGCUAACAUUUUAAUUUUGAGAAUUGCCAACUUUUGUAAAACUUCACAAAUUUUACCAUUAAGAUUUGUUUUCCAAGGAUUGGAGUAGAAUAAUAGUUCUCUCCAUUCUUGAUUAACUUUUGUUUGCUAGAUAGAUAAUUUCUUAACUGUGUAUGUAAGUUCAAACUCAUGAAAUUCAUGCUGAAUUAGAGUUGAAGAGAUUGAGUUCCACCUGUUUAAGGUUAGUGGUAGGCAAAAAACUGUUAGGAAACACGCUACAGAAUUCUCUGAUUUCCACAGAAGGUUACAUUUGGGUGUACUGUGUAGUUGUAUAGGUAGUUCAAUUUAAUAGUUAAAUAUUACUCUCCUUCAUCUUAAUUAGGUUAAUACAGCAGUGCUUAUUCUUUACAUAAUGCUAUGGAUUAUCAAGGGAAGGGUUCAAAAUGUAAACAAAAAGGUGCUGCAUAGGUGGUGUAUAUUAUGUGAGUAGGACUACUUCCAUAUGGUACUAGUAAACAUUUAUCAGAUGCUGCUGCUAUUGUGUUAUAUUUUUAAUAAAAUGAAAAUCUUAAAAUCUU